This is a non-coding RNA of Phrynosoma platyrhinos (Desert horned lizard), 72 nucleotides long. The record is from the annotation of a GenBank genome assembly. Lineage: Eukaryota; Metazoa; Chordata; Lepidosauria; Squamata; Phrynosomatidae.
GCCAGCAUGGUGUAGUGGUUUGCGUGUUGGACUACAACUCUGGAGACCGGGGUUCAGUUCCCCACUCGGCCA